This 260-nucleotide unclassified non-coding RNA is filed under the name Hevea brasiliensis (rubber tree). Lineage: Eukaryota; Viridiplantae; Streptophyta; Magnoliopsida; Malpighiales; Euphorbiaceae. The record is from RNAcentral.
AACCUUCUAUUAUUAACAGCAAGUCUUGUCAACUUGGACAGAUUCUUGUCCCGUUGAUUUGCAUAUGAGAGUGAUACACUACGGCUCAGAUACUUAUUUCUCCUAUCCGCAGAAGCCCGAGAAAGGGCUUCUUUGGGGCUAGAAACCAAAUCAUCAUCUAUGCUGAGCUUUGUCUUCAAAUCAUCUGGUAGUGCCAUAACGUCAUUGACAAGCUUCUCCAGCUGAAUCUGUUCUAUGUAAGUACGAGGAACAUAUGAACC